CCCCCCGCCACAGCACGAGAGUUUGAUCCUGGCUCAGGACGAACGCUGGCGGCGUGCUUAACACAUGCAAGUCGAACGAUGAACCACUUCGGUGGGGAUUAGUGGCGAACGGGUGAGUAACACGUGGGCAAUCUGCCCUGCACUCUGGGACAAGCCCUGGAAACGGGGUCUAAUACCGGAUACUGAUCCGCCUGGGCAUCCAGGCGGUUCGAAAGCUCCGGCGGUGCAGGAUGAGCCCGCGGCCUAUCAGCUUGUUGGUGAGGUAACGGCUCACCAAGGCGACGACGGGUAGCCGGCCUGAGAGGGCGACCGGCCACACUGGGACUGAGACACGGCCCAGACUCCUACGGGAGGCAGCAGUGGGGAAUAUUGCACAAUGGGCGCAAGCCUGAUGCAGCGACGCCGCGUGAGGGAUGACGGCCUUCGGGUUGUAAACCUCUUCAGCAGGAAGAAGCGCAAGUGACGUACCGCAGAGAGUCCGCC
RNAcentral lists this ribosomal RNA (483 nucleotides) under Streptomyces heliomycini. RNAcentral's name for it is "bacterial SSU rRNA". It matches the Rfam family "Bacterial small subunit ribosomal RNA", at positions 1 to 492 of the family's 1533-position model. The record is from RNAcentral. Lineage: Bacteria; Bacillati; Actinomycetota; Actinomycetes; Kitasatosporales; Streptomycetaceae.